Capra hircus (goat) is the source of this 873-nucleotide long non-coding RNA. RefSeq lists it as uncharacterized. The record is from RefSeq and is a predicted model, not a curated record. Lineage: Eukaryota; Metazoa; Chordata; Mammalia; Artiodactyla; Bovidae. The transcript is spliced from 2 exons.
AAUCCCAUGGACAGAGGAGCCUGGCAGGCUACAGUCCAUGGGGCCACAAAGAGUUGGACGCAACUGAACAACUAAGAACACAAGCCAAUCAUUAAUAGUUUUAUCUGUUCAAGUGGUUCCUCAUGGAUCCCAACUCAGAAGAUGAUUGGGGUGUUUAGCGUUAUGUGAAUUGCUACAUAAACUCAAAAGAAUUGAUCUUUUCAUAAAGAUAUUCUAUAAUUUUCAUGAAAUUAUAUUUUCCUGGAUUCAUCUUUCUGGAGUUGGUCACUCACGAUGCAUGUUAUUGCUCUCUAGCUGCCCAGAGCAUAAAUCGCUGCCCAUGAGUGUCUCACUGAGGAAGCAGUCAAGUCUACCACACGAUCACGCCAAACACAGCUGAAGGGACCAGGGGUAACCUCCAUCCUGAUUCCCUUCUCUAAGGUUAAGUUUCUGGUUAUUCUGCCCAGUUUUGGAGAGCAAUCUACACGUUCUUUUCUACACCACCGAAUUUUCUUCCCACAAAAUAUCAAAUUACAUUGACAGUGACUAUCUCUGGCAGAAAUGGAUUUUCUAUCAAUGCUCUAGUAAUAAAGAUAGUUAUAAGGAAACGUUGUGCUUUUGAAAGCUCUUGUUUUUCCAUAGGACAUUUCUUAGAACACUUUAAAUACCUGCCUAAUCUUUGGGGGGUAUGGAAAAUUGAUCGUUACAAGCCCCAGUGUGUUUUGGGUAUUAUGAAACACUAAGAACUCACUCUCUGAUUUUGUUUCCUAGAGACAUAUGACAGCAAACAAAGCAGACAUAGAAGUGUUAUCCUAUUUUUUGGUGAGAACUAUGAGAAGUCAUUUCAAGAAAGACUGACUCUGCAAUUCUGCCAUGAACCUCACGUCAUCAAAA